Molecule: long non-coding RNA, 676 nt
Organism: Capsicum annuum
Lineage: Eukaryota; Viridiplantae; Streptophyta; Magnoliopsida; Solanales; Solanaceae
Exons: 2
Source: RefSeq, a predicted model, not a curated record
UAAAAGGAUGGUCUAUCUUUUUAAAAUUUUUUAUAAAUUCUAUAUCUCGAACCAUCCUCUUACAUGAAGACUUGUUAGAUAUUGCAGAAGUUGAAAAAAUCUCAAUCAUUUUUAAAAUUUAUCUAAUUUGGAGGUGUUUGACAAAGUAAUCAUAAGGAUUUACAAGCUUCAAAUCAAGUGAAAACAACUCAAAAAGGCUUGGAAUGGAUCACAAAACCACAAAACACAGCUUGACGCCAAUUUGGACACCUAAAAAGUAUUGGGAGAGUGUGGGUGCAUGGGAAGGAUUCUGGGAGUGUACAUCGCUCCAAUGGAUUCAGAAGGUAUGCAAAAUAGUGAACCAACGCAAUUUAGAUGCGACGCGACGCCCUUCAACGCGUUAAUCACUGGGUUCGCAGACGACCAGAAACUGUUUCCUUGUUCAACAAGGCAUGGGCUAUUUCUUCUACUAUAAAUAGGACCCGUUUUUACUUACUUUUGAACGUCUUGGAAGAUUAAGGAGGCUACCAUAACUUCUUUUUAGGGUUUAUAUCUCUUUUCUUUAGUUUCUUUCAUGGUUUGUAUCAUCAAUCCAAGGGAUUGGAUGAUGACUAUUUCCAUUAAAGGCUAAAACUCUUUUUCUAGGGUUAAGGCCACAUUUAUGAUUACUUUUUGAAUUAAUUUUGUUUGAUUUGUG